AGAGUUUGAUCCUGGCUCAGGACGAACGGAGGCGGCGCGCUUAACACAUGCAAGUCGUGGGGGGGUGGUGGGCAACCAGUGCCUCACCGGCGAACGGGUGCGUAACACGUGAGCAACCUCCCGAUUUCUGGGGGAUAGCCGGCCCAACGGCCGGGUAAUACCGCAUACGCGGCUCGAGGGACCUCUCUUGAGUCGGAAACCUCCGGGGGAGAUCGCGGGGCUCGCGGCCUAUCAGCUAGUUGGCGAGGUAACGGCUCACCAAGGCGAUGACGGGUAGCUGGUCUGAGAGGAUGGCCAGCCACAUUGGGACUGAGAGACGGCCCAGACUCCUACGGGAGGCAGCAGUGGGGAAUCUUGCGCAAUGGCCGAAAGGCUGACGCAGCGACGCCGCGUGCGGGAGGACGCUCUUCGGGGUGUAAACCGCUGUUGCCCGGAACGAAACUCGGGAUGAUCCCGAUGACGUACCGGGAGAAGCCCGC
Molecule: ribosomal RNA, 479 nt
Filed under: uncultured soil bacterium
Lineage: Bacteria
Description: bacterial SSU rRNA
Rfam family: Bacterial small subunit ribosomal RNA
Source: RNAcentral